AGAGCGAACGCUGGCGGCAGGCCUAACACAUGCAAGUCGAGCGCCCCGCAAGGGGAGCGGCAGACGGGAGAGUAACACGUGGGAACGUACCCUUCAGUUCGGAACAACCCAGGGAAACUUGGGCUAAUACCGGAUACGUCCGUAAGGAGAAAGAUUUAUCGCUGAAGGAUCGGCCCGCGUCUGAUUAGCUUGUUGGUGAGGUAACGGCUCACCAAGGCGACGAUCAGUAGCUGGUCUGAGAGGAUGAUCAGCCUCACUGGGACUGAGACACGGCCCAGACUCCUACGGGAGGCAGCAGUGGGGAAUAUUGGACAAUGGGCGCAAGCCUGAUCCAGCCAUGCCGCGUGGGUGAUGAAGGCCCUAGGGUUGUAAAGCCUUUCGGCGGGGAAGAUAAUGACGGUACCCGCAGAAGAAGCCCCGGCUAACUUCGUGCCAGCAGCCGC
RNAcentral lists this ribosomal RNA (443 nucleotides) under uncultured bacterium. RNAcentral describes it as "SSU rRNA". It matches the Rfam family "Bacterial small subunit ribosomal RNA", at positions 26 to 518 of the family's 1533-position model. The record is from RNAcentral.